UGCCUUUCAUCCGCGUUCUACAGGCCGCUGCAGCUCCCGGGAGAGGAUCUUGGAAGCUUACGGUGGGAAAUAAGGGGAGAGGAGGAACCUAGUUGCCUCUGAGGAAGCAGGGGCCCCGGGGCAUUUCUUUAUGAAGUUACUUUUUGAGUAAAGGUUUAUAAAUGCAAAUGUUUCUGCAACAGAGUUUCCAACCCCAAGUUGUGUCCAGGAUUGUAAAACUGGGGGUCCAGACGGGCAAACCUCAAGUGGGUGAAUAUCAAUGUGGAAACCUGGGUCUCCAUGCACCCCUUCUAACAUUGGAGACCAUAUAGUCCACUCUCCUUCUUAGAUCCUAGCCUGAACUUCAUUAGCUCCCCUUCUACUCAUCCCUAACUCUGCGGGGCCUCGGCAGGCUCCUGGGACCCACCUUCGCAUCAUUUCCCAACUCCAAAGCCUCUCCUACUGGGCUCCGUGCUGCCCUUAGGAAUUACCCAGACCAGCCAGACGGCCAUCUCCCGGGAGAAUGCGUGGCUAGAGCCAGGCCAGGGUACUCUCUCUUUCCGCCUUUGUCCCUCCCUCCCUGCCCCCAGCUUCUCCAGAUCUCUGAGCUGAGUGUUUGGCUGGUGCAGUCCAUCCCAGCUUCCCGGGGGCUCUGGAGCAAGCCCCGCGUCCCGAAUGCCGCGCCCCUACCCACCGGAUUGCCUUGGGGGGCCCCUCGAUGCUGGGUCGUCGGCGUGGCGCUCUGAGGCGGUCGAACAGGAGCCCCCAGGCCCACCAUAUCUACGCUCUUAGUAGCCAGGUCGAAGAUGCUCAAAGAAGGAGGAAGUGCAGAGAAAAAGAGGGGGGUGAGGGAGAACCUUAACGUCUACGCACUCAAAACCGACUUUGGGGUUGGACUGUUUCAGUUUCACACGAAGAGACCUGGAGUAUCUGGAGAAGGUUUUUGAAGACGUUUAGGAGGAAGGGUGAGUUUUCUGCUGAGAAACUCAAUCUGCCAUACAGUAGCGGCCCCAUCUGGGAUCUGUCACUGCUGACAGCACCACAGGGCACAGCCGUGAUCUUCUGCACAGCCUGCACUCCCCGAAAUACCCUCCUUAAUCAAAGGAUGUCUGCGCGCCGGAGCUCAGCUGACCGCGCCAGGAGCAGAAUGGCCGGUGGAUUCCACCCCUAGCCCGCCCCCUCCCCACGCACACAGCCACAGCCCCUAUGGUCUUCCCAGAACAUUAAUUAAAAGCGGAAAGAGACAGAGGCUGAUGUCAUUGCUCUCAGAAGAUCAUAAACGUAAAGAGUCAUCCAGUGAGAAUCCCUGAAAAUGACUUUAAUGAAUAAUUUCAGAGACAGUUAUGGCUUUGGGUGAUUACGGAGAGAAUAUGAAAACCAGAUUUGCAAAGAGAAGGCGAUGGUCAGACGGCCUGGCCGCCACUUUCCCCCAUUAAAACCGCACCGGCUUUCCUUCUCCCCCAAGUAGUAGUUACAAACUUAGGUUGCGUUUUCAGAUUUUCUUUUUGAAAAACAAAACAAAAGCAAUCACAACCCUUACCCCUACCCCACCCCGGACUCCACCCCCAGCGUUUCUGCCUUUAUCAUAAAGAUAUCAGCUCCUGGCAAUGACAAUAACAACCCACUUUAAAUGGAAGGCGAUAGUGCAUUGGCACCAGUAGCCAUUGACUUCCCUUUUUUUUUUUUUUAAACAAGGGACGGAUUUACGGCCCUCUUAAUUUAGAAUAAUAUCUUUUUUGGCAUCUUCUCUAGACAAUGUACUUAUGAAGGUUGAAAACUCUCUGCCCCUGACAGAGAGCACUGUUUGUUCUAAGUCAUUUCAGUUGGUGGGGCAACAAACAACAGAGAACCAAACGAACUGCCUCUACAGGAAAAUCUGCCCUCUCCUGGACUCCUUAGUUCUAGGUCACAAAUGAAUCUAGUCCCAGAGCUGCUUAAAGUAUUGAAAGAUGAUUUGGUGCUACAACAAGAAUGGUAUUUUGAAGCACUCCAUUUGGUCACAGAGAAACACGGAGUUGAUA
This 2000-nucleotide long non-coding RNA is filed under the name Marmota monax (woodchuck). Lineage: Eukaryota; Metazoa; Chordata; Mammalia; Rodentia; Sciuridae. The record is from RNAcentral.